Molecule: ribosomal RNA, 928 nt
Filed under: Nocardia seriolae
Lineage: Bacteria; Bacillati; Actinomycetota; Actinomycetes; Mycobacteriales; Nocardiaceae
Description: bacterial SSU rRNA
Rfam family: Bacterial small subunit ribosomal RNA
Source: RNAcentral
GGAGAGUUUGAUCCUGGCUCAGGACGAACGCUGGCGGCGUGCUUAACACAUGCAAGUCGAGCGGUAAGGCCCUUCGGGGUACACGAGCGGCGAACGGGUGAGUAACACGUGGGUGAUCUGCCUUGCACUCUGGGAUAAGCCUGGGAAACUGGGUCUAAUACCGGAUAUGAGCCUGAACUGCAUGGUUCGGGUUGGAAAGAUUUAUCGGUGCGAGAUGGGCCCGCGGCCUAUCAGCUUGUUGGUGAGGUAACGGCUCACCAAGGCGACGACGGGUAGCCGGCCUGAGAGGGCGACCGGCCACACUGGGACUGAGACACGGCCCAGACUCCUACGGGAGGCAGCAGUGGGGAAUAUUGCACAAUGGGCGAAAGCCUGAUGCAGCGACGCCGCGUGAGGGAUGACGGCCUUCGGGUUGUAAACCUCUUUCGACAGGGACGAAGCGCAAGUGACGGUACCUGUAGAAGAAGCACCGGCUAACUACGUGCCAGCAGCCGCGGUAAUACGUAGGGUGCGAGCGUUGUCCGGAAUGACUGGGCGUAAAGAGCUUGUAGGCGGUCUGUCACGUCGGUCGUGAAAACUCACAGCUCAACUGUGGGCCUGCGGUCGAUACGGGCAGACUAGAGUACUUCAGGGGAGACUGGAAUUCCUGGUGUAGCGGUGAAAUGCGCAGAUAUCAGGAGGAACACCGGUGGCGAAGGCGGGUCUCUGGGAAGUAACUGACGCUGAGAAGCGAAAGCGUGGGUAGCGAACAGGAUUAGAUACCCUGGUAGUCCACGCCGUAAACGGUGGGUACUAGGUGUGGGUUUCCUUCCACGGGAUCCGUGCCGUAGCUAACGCAUUAAGUACCCCGCCUGGGGAGUACGGCCGCAAGGCUAAAACUCAAAGGAAUUGACGGGGGCCCGCACAAGCGGCGGAGCAUGUGGAUUAA